UGAGUCAUCGAAUCUUUGAACGCACCUUGCGCUCCUUGGUAUUCCGAGGAGCAUGCCUGUUUGAGUGUCAUUAAUAUAUAUAUCAACCUUCUCUUUGUUGAGUGGUUUGGAUGUGGGGGUUUGCUGUGGCCUCUUAGGAGGGUUCAGCUCCCCUGAAAUGCAUUAGCAGAACAAACCUUGUUCAUUGGUGUGAUAACUAUCUACGCUAUUGAAUGUGAGGGGCAGUUCAGCUUUCUAACGGUCCUUUGGGACAGAUUCAUCAUUAAUGUGACCUCAAAUCAGGUAGGACUACCCGCUGAACUUAAGCAUAUCAAUAAGCGGAGG
Molecule: ribosomal RNA, 324 nt
Filed under: uncultured Cortinarius
Lineage: Eukaryota; Fungi; Basidiomycota; Agaricomycetes; Agaricales; Cortinariaceae
Description: eukaryotic LSU rRNA
Rfam family: 5.8S ribosomal RNA (bases 1-70)
Source: RNAcentral